Molecule: ribosomal RNA, 514 nt
Filed under: uncultured bacterium
Lineage: Bacteria
Description: bacterial SSU rRNA
Rfam family: Bacterial small subunit ribosomal RNA
Source: RNAcentral
AAUAGAUACCCAGGUAGUCCACGCCGUAAACGAUGAGUGCUAAGUGUUGGAGGGUUUCCGCCCUUCAGUGCUGCAGCUAACGCAUUAAGCACUCCGCCUGGGGAGUACGGUCGCAAGACUGAAACUCAAAGGAAUUGACGGGGGCCCGCACAAGCGGUGGAGCAUGUGGUUUAAUUCGAAGCAACGCGAAGAACCUUACCAGGUCUUGACAUCUCCUGACUGCCCUGGAGACAGGGUCUUCCCUUCGGGGACAGGAUGACAGGUGGUGCAUGGUUGUCGUCAGCUCGUGUCGUGAGAUGUUGGGUUAAGUCCCGCAACGAGCGCAACCCUUGGUUCUAGUUGCCAGCAUUCAGUUGGGCACUCUAGAGCGACUGCCGGCGACAAGUCGGAGGAAGGUGGGGAUGACGUCAAAUCAUCAUGCCCCUUAUGACCUGGGCUACACACGUGCUACAAUGGAUGGUACAAAGGGCAGCGAAGCGGCGACGCAUGAGCGAAUCCCAGAAAACCAUUCUCU